CCUACGGGCGGCAGCAGUCGAGAAUCAUUCACAAUGGGGGAAACCCUGAUGGUGCGACGCCGCGUGGGGGAAUGAAGGUCUUCGGAUUGUAAACCCCUCUCAUGUGGGAGCAAAUUAAAAAGAUAGUACCACAAGAGGAAGAGACGGCUAACUCUGUGCCAGCAGCCGCGGUAAUACAGAGGUCUCAAGCGUUGUUCGGAAUCACUGGGCGUAACGCGUGCGUAGGCUGUUUCGUAAGUCGUGUGUGAAAGGCGCGGGCUCAACCCGCGGACGGCACAUGAUACUGCGAGACUAGAGUAAUGGAGGGGGAACCGGAAUUCUCGGUGUAGCAGUGAAAUGCGUAGAUAUCGAGAGGAACACUCGUGGCGAAGGCGGGUUCCUGGACAUUAACUGACGCUGAGGCACGAAGGCCAGGGGAGCGAAAGGGAUUAGAUACCCUAGUAGUC
RNAcentral lists this ribosomal RNA (446 nucleotides) under uncultured bacterium. RNAcentral's name for it is "partial 16S ribosomal RNA". It matches the Rfam family "Bacterial small subunit ribosomal RNA", at positions 338 to 795 of the family's 1533-position model. The record is from RNAcentral.